Molecule: ribosomal RNA, 915 nt
Filed under: uncultured marine group I thaumarchaeote
Lineage: Archaea; Thermoproteati; Nitrososphaerota
Description: bacterial SSU rRNA
Rfam family: Archaeal small subunit ribosomal RNA
Source: RNAcentral
UUCCGGUUGAUCCUGCCGGACCUGACUGCUAUCGGAUUGAUACUAAGCCAUGCGAGUCUUUGUAGUAAUACAAGGCAGACGGCUCAGUAACACGUAGUCAACCUACCCUAUGGACAAGAAUAAUCUCGGGAAACUGGGCAUAAUUCUUGAUAGAUCAUAAUGCCUGGAAUGGUUUAUGGUUAAAAUGAUUCGUCGCCAUAGGAUGGGACUGCGGCCUAUCAGCUUGUUGGUGAGGUAAUGGCCCACCAAGGCGAUUACAGGUACGGGCUCUGAGAGGAGAAGCCCGGAGAUGGGUACUGAGACACGGACCCAGGCCCUAUGGGGCGCAGCAGGCGAGAAAACUUUGCAAUGUGCGAAAGCACGACAAGGUUAAUCCGAGUGAUUUCUGCUAAAGAAAUCUUUUGCCAGUCAUAAAACCACUGGUGAAUAAGGGGUGGGCAAGUUCUGGUGUCAGCCGCCGCGGUAAAACCAGCACCUCAAGUGGUCAGGAUGAUUAUUGGGCCUAAAGCAUCCGUAGCCGGCUUUGUUAGUUUUCGGUUAAAUCCAUGUGCUCAACGCAUGGGCUGCCGAAAAUACUGCAUGGCUAGGGAGUGGGAGAGGUAGACGGUACUCAGUAGGAAGGGGUAAAAUCCUUUGAUCUAUUGAUGACCACCUGUGGCGAAGGCGGUCUACCAGAACACGUUCGACGGUGAGGGAUGAAAGCUGGGGGAGCAAACCGGAUUAGAUACCCGGGUAGUCCCAGCUGUAAACGAUGCAGACUCGAUGAUGCAUUGGCAUAAUAGCCAGUGCAGUGUCGCAGGGAAGCCGUUAAGUCUGCCGCCUGGGGAAGUACGUACGCAAGUAUGAACUUAAAGGAAUUGGCGGGGGAGCACCACAAGGGUGAAGCCUGCGGUUCAAUUGGAUUCAACGCCGGAA